GUAAGACUGGCCCUCCUCAGGGAGAGCCUGAGGUCCCCUGGACAUAGCCACUGACAGCAGGAUCAGUGGCGGAAUGUCCUUGCUGGCCGUCCCAGGUCCUUACAUGGCCAGGAAGGACACAGAUGGAUGAGAGAAGGACUGGCCUGUGCCAGCUGAAUUCAUAGAAUCAAUGGACGUUUCCAACUUGAUGAGUACACAAAUUUGGUUCUAUGGAUUUUGUGGAUUGCUAGAGGACUUCUGUCGCAAAUAUUUAACAUUGAGCAAGUUGGGCUUCUCUGAAACCAGAAAACUCAGAAAUGGACCCUCAAACCCUAUGGUCAGCUAAUCUUUGACAAAGAAAGAAAGAAUAUUCAAUGGAAAAAAGACAGUGUCUUUAACAAUUGUACUGGGAAAACUGGACAGCCACAUCCAGAAGGAUGAAACCAGACCACCUACUUACACCAUACACAAAAAUAAAUGCAAAAUCGAUGUUGGUA
This is a long non-coding RNA of Mustela lutreola (European mink), 476 nucleotides long. RefSeq lists it as uncharacterized. The transcript has 2 exons. The record is from RefSeq and is a predicted model, not a curated record. Lineage: Eukaryota; Metazoa; Chordata; Mammalia; Carnivora; Mustelidae.